CACAAUGGCGCAAGCCUGAUGCAGCAACGCCGCGUGCGGGAUGACGGCCUUCGGGUUGUAAACCGCUUUCAGUUCCGACGAAGCGCAAGUGACGGUAGGAACAGAAGAAGGACCGGCCAACUACGUGCCAGCAGCCGCGGUGAUACGUAGGGUCCGAGCGUUGUCCGGAAUUAUUGGGCGUAAAGGGCUUGUAGGCGGUUUGUCGCGUCGGAAGUGAAAACUCAGGGCUUAACCCUGAGCCUGCUUCCGAUACGGGCAAACUAGAGGGAUGCAGGGGAGAAUGGAAUUCCUGGUGGAGCGGUGGAAUGCGCAGAUAUCAGGAGGAACACCGGUGGCGAAGGCGGUUCUCUGGGCAUUUCCUGACGCUGAGAAGCGAAAGCGUGGGGAGCAAACAGGCUUAGAUACCCUGGUAGUCCACGCCGUAAACGGUGGGCACUAGGUGUGGGGAACAUUCCACGUUCUCCGUGCCGAAGCUAACGCAUUAAGUGCCCCGCCUGGGGAGUACGGCCGCAAGGCUA
Molecule: ribosomal RNA, 518 nt
Filed under: uncultured Actinomycetes bacterium
Lineage: Bacteria; Bacillati; Actinomycetota; Actinomycetes
Description: bacterial SSU rRNA
Rfam family: Bacterial small subunit ribosomal RNA
Source: RNAcentral